GCACUCAAUUCGGCAGCGUACCUACUAAAAUUGGAACUAUGCAGAAAAGAUUAGCCUGGCCCCUGCGUAAGGAUGCCAUGCAAAUUCAUGGAGCGUUCUGUAUUUUU
Molecule: small nuclear RNA, 107 nt
Organism: Vulpes vulpes (red fox)
Lineage: Eukaryota; Metazoa; Chordata; Mammalia; Carnivora; Canidae
Source: Ensembl